This 282-nucleotide long non-coding RNA is filed under the name Manihot esculenta (cassava). RNAcentral describes it as "long non-coding RNA (MESC_LNC006664)". Lineage: Eukaryota; Viridiplantae; Streptophyta; Magnoliopsida; Malpighiales; Euphorbiaceae. The record is from RNAcentral.
AUCCCUACUAGAGCUCCUCAUGGCUCUAGGCGGAUCAAACUCAUAAUGUUAAGCCUGGUUUUGCUCAUAAACAUACAACAAUAAAGAAACAUACAUAAACUGAUCAUGUGACUCCACAAAGGGAUUACAACUCUUAUAAGUCAAGCACUAUUCUAUACACUGUCCAUAUACACUAUCUCUAUACAUUUACAUGUCCACACUAGCUAUUACACCACUCUGUACUCUUCCUGUACCCUGCUGAGUUCUCUCUGACCUCUGAACCUGCACAACUGGAGUUAGGGG